UUGGGCUGUGACACUGAUUGCUGUCAUACAGAGAGACUCUCCCCACUUCAUGGGGCUGACAGCCUGCACGUGGCCACACCUCCGUGUGGAUACCUUCUUCACCCUGGUCAGCCUUUGACAACCCACUCUGGGCCUUCUCCUGGCUGGGACUUUAUUUUCACCCAUUUCAAAGAGCUCUGCCACCCCAAACUGGGCCACCACUGUCACCAUUUCCUUAGGAGAAAAAGCCAACAGAAACAUAAAAAGGAAAAACAUGAGGUGGUCCCCAUGGGUCAUGGCGCUCAGGACGGGAUGAGUCCCAAGGAUUUAAACUUCAGAGCCAACCAGCGAGGUAGGUGAUGACAGUUGUUGUCCUAACAUUCUGAUUUGCCACGGUUUUCCUGUGAGCACGUUUGUUGAUGUUGUGAGUCAGUGACUCAGAAUUCAGGAUUGUAUAGAAGAGAAAAUGGUAAGAACAGCAGCAAUUAUAUAACCCGAGGUGUUUUCCUAGCAUUCUCCCAGCUCCUUUCAGGAAAUCUCCAGUCCUGUUGUCCAGGGGAGGAUUCUUUUAUCUCUUUUCUGGGGAUUUUUCUUCAAUUCCUGACCAACCAAACUGCUGUGUGCACUUCCCCUCUGCAUAACCAAAAACUAGUAUAGAGAGUCAACGAUCCUCCUUAAUGCUUUCAACCAAGUCAAUGAUAAAAAUCAUUGAAAGGGUAGAAGGCAAGGGAAGAUAAGCCCACCCAUCUUUCUUUAUAAGGAGUGACACUCUUACGUGUUGACCCUUCUUUUUCUCUGAAGAGACACCAAAAGAAUGGAAUCUCCUGGAAUGUGAGGUAACUCAGCUCAUUCAUCUUUAGUCUUUACAAUAUGCCUCUCGGGUUUUUUGACGUGUGAAAGGAAAGAGACAGCUAGUCUGAAGCGAUAGAAAGUUAGGGUCAUGCACUCCAUAACCAUCUCUUGGUGAUGCAAGAACUGAGUGUAAACAGGAUGAGCAGAGUUUAUUAAGACCAAGACAAGUAUUAAGUGAGUAACAGCUGUAGACAUUUUAUUCUGCGUACACAUACAAGGGGCUUCAGGCACAUGCAUACAGGAGUGGAAGAGUGUUUAUUAUGUGCUGAGGACUGUGGUAGACAUUUUGUUUAAAUUAUUUCUUCAACUCUAAAAUACCUGUUAGAUUAUUACAUGGUGUUCUCAUUGAGCUAUUACAGGACUGCUGUGAGGAUUAAAUGAGAUGAAACUGGUAGUAUCUGGUACAUUAGAUUCUCAUAAUAGCCCUAUAAAUCUCACCAAGGUUAAAGUGACCCAGCCAAUGUCACAUCACUAGAAAGUGGUCGAGAUGGUGUUCUAAUCCAGAACCGACCCCACAGCCCUCCCUCCUGUGGCUGUACUAUAUGACUAGAAAAUAGUCCAUUUGCUGGAUGUUUGUCUAUGACUCAUGUGAUAAGAGCAAUCUUGGGCCAGAAAUUUCAAGCAAAAGAGAAUUACUGUUAAAGCUCUGUCCUGUGGAAUAAUUUGUAGUUACUUGGAAAAGUGUAUUUUUAGGCUUAUUUAACUCUUGACAUGCAAUGUUUCACAAACGGCUUAAUUCCCUCUUUGUAAGCUGAGUGCUGCAGGUAAGCUGUGUUUUCCCACUGGAAAGGUAAUUCCAAAUCUGUGUCUAUGGAGAUUCAGUUUGAGCAAAUUUGACAUCCCAAACUUUGUGCGGUAAAGGUGACACUUAUUUGGGAAUUUGGUGAUCUUAUGAUGAUAAUUUAACUUCUCCUAAGGCUUCAGAGGUGGAAUCCUUCAUCUGAAAGAAUGGUAUGCUACAUGGGUAGAAAUGAGAGUUGAAUUUACUAUUCAUAGAGCGGUCAGGGCUGUGGUUUUUAGUCCUAAUAUCUAUUUGGGAUAUUUUUGUGAUGCAGACAUUAGGGUAGGAGCACAAAUAUCAGGUGAAAUUGUAAAGAGCUUAAGGAUAAAUACUUAUGAUGACAAAAGUGAUGGUUAGGCCAUAGCUAGUUCACUGAGGGAUAUCCUUAAUCAUAACUCUUAAUUUUAAGUUCUCUACUACCUAUCAUUUCUGUCUAGUUAAUUUUAUGGUAAUAACAUAUUCUGGAAUAUCAGCUCUAUAUGAACAGAGAAUUUUGUCAGUUUUAAUCACGAAUGUAUCCUUAGGACCUAGAAGAAUGCCUUGUUUACAGUAAGUGUCCAGUACAUAUAAUUUUAAAAAAGAAUGAAAUACGUAGGCAUAAUGAUAGAAGAUUAAGAAGUUCACCUCUAGUAUUGUAGGAAUAGAAGGAAUUCUCAACAGAGGAACAAAAUAUUAAAGGAAUAAACUAGUUUUAAAAAUUAGUUAUUUAAUUAUU
Molecule: long non-coding RNA, 2327 nt
Filed under: Sus scrofa (pig)
Lineage: Eukaryota; Metazoa; Chordata; Mammalia; Artiodactyla; Suidae
Description: lncRNA (ENSSSCG00035074637.1)
Source: RNAcentral